CUGCUGCCGCUACCUGGAAUAUCCACACUGGAUAACUCGAAGCUUGGUGGAAACAGAGGUUGGAAAAAGCAGAAAAUAAAACAAAGGGAUGGAAGAUGGGUGCUCUGAAUUCCAUUUCCUUAGAAACCAACAAGAGCUCCUUCAGUAUGUCGUGGACACCUUCAGUUGAGCACAGCUCAGGCACCGCAAGGACACUCCGCUCAUGUAAGUUGGCCUUAGUAGGUUUUUCUUCCAUGAGUGAAUUUCUAUUCAGAGCAAGUAAAACACAGCCUGUGACACUGUUUGUCCCGAAUGUCAACAGCGCUCUCUGUGAUCAGCCCGUUGUACGAGGUGUUGGAAUACAUGAACAACGCAAACGGAAUAUCUCGUCUCUCAUUUCUGUCUUUAAUCAUUGGCUGCCUCCACUCCAGUUACACCUGGGCCGUGCUCUGAUCUGCAGGUUUAACUCCAGGGGAAACUUCACCUGUUUGAUGACAGCCGUCAAGUGAACCAGAUGUUACCUCUAGUAAGAAAGGAUGGGCAGGUAGAGUGUGAUGUCUGGGGUGCUCCUGACUCAGGGCGGCCUCCCUGGCUCCCCUCACCCAGUUGGACCUGGGUGCCCUUGUCCUACUCUUCUAUAGCAUCCUUGGCUUUUCCUUCAUGGUGCCCAUCACACAUUCCAGCGAGACACGGAUUUGUGGGAUUAUUUGCACCGGGUGAAGUUGGCCUGUUCCACUAGUUUCCUGACUCCAGGAGCUCAGAGCUUUUGUCAUUCUUUCUUCACUCUGUGCAUGUAACACACAAGAGACGUUUCCUGAAUGAAGGGCCCCUGAUGCUGUGGCACAAAUAACAAAACAUUGGGAAGUAGUACGUCUUGCCAGCCCUACUGCUGGCCCUGAAUGACUGGAACCAGUGCUUCAAUUUUAAACAUUUGAUUGACAAGUUAUUUUCAGCAGUUUGCCCUCAAAAGAUGACCUUGUGUCGUUUACUUCUAACCUGAUCUGGGCUUAGCGUAUCUACUCAUUCCUUAGGUCAGCCACAGCCUCAUAAGCAGCUACGUUCAAUCAGUCGUCACAGCCCUGGGCACAGACUUUCUCAGCAAGAGUAAUUUUCUCACUUAUGCUAACAAUUUGACUUCUUCAAACGCGUACUCUUUUUUUUUUUUUUUUUUUUUUUUUUUGAGACGGUGUCUCAUUAUGUUGCCCAGGCUGGACUUGAACUCCUGGGCUCAAGCAAUCCUCUGCCUCAGCUCCAGACUAGCUGGGACAUAGAUGCAUGUCACCGUGCCCAGCUCAAAAGCGUACUUUUACCUACACUGAUGAUAUCAAGACAUGAUAGAACAAAAAGCAUAUUUCCUGAGUGAUUUUUUAAAAAUUUCAACCGCCUGUACACAGACUGUAACACCAGCAGUCGUGAGGAAGUGCUUGGGACUUGCCGGUUCUCAGACUUGCCUCUUGCCAGGGAGGAGACCCCAUC
This is a long non-coding RNA of Homo sapiens (human), 1455 nucleotides long. Ensembl annotates it as long intergenic non-protein coding RNA 1879. The record is from Ensembl. Lineage: Eukaryota; Metazoa; Chordata; Mammalia; Primates; Hominidae.